GACGAACGCUGGCGGCGUGCUUAACACAUGCAAGUCGAACGGACAGGUCCUGCUUUUGCGGGGUGCUCGUGUGGCGAACGGGUGAGUAACACGUGUGUAUCCUGCCCUUGACUUUGGGAUAAAUUUAGGAAACUGGGGCUAAUAUCGGAUAGGAGCUCCUGCUGCAUGGUGGGGGUUGGUAAGUUUCGGCGGUUGGGGAUGGACUCGCAGGUUACCGGCUUGUUGGUGAGGUUGUGGCUGACCAAGGCUUCGACGGGUAGCCGGCCUGAGAGGUGGACCGGCGUCAUGAGUACUAAGAUAGGGCGCAGACUCGAACGGGAGGCAACAGUGGGGAAUUUGGCGGAGUGGGCGGGAGCCAGUUGUAGCAGCGCCGCGUGCGGGAUGACGGCUUUCUGGGUGAAAACCGCUUUCGCCGGAGACGAAGCGUGAGCGACGGUAAUGGGUAAGGAAGCACCGGCUAACUACGUG
Molecule: ribosomal RNA, 468 nt
Filed under: uncultured bacterium
Lineage: Bacteria
Description: partial 16S ribosomal RNA
Rfam family: Bacterial small subunit ribosomal RNA
Source: RNAcentral